GACGAACGCUGGCGGCGUGCCUAAUACAUGCAAGUAGAACGCUGAAGGAGGAGCUUGCUUCUCUGGAUGAGUUGCGAACGGGUGAGUAACGCGUAGGUAACCUGCCUGGUAGCGGGGGAUAACUAUUGGAAACGAUAGCUAAUACCGCAUAAUAUUGACUAUUGCAUGAUAGUCAGUUGAAAGGUGCAACUGCACCACUACCAGAUGGACCUGCGUUGUAUUAGCUAGUUGGUGGGGUAACGGCUCACCAAGGCGACGAUACAUAGCCGACCUGAGAGGGUGAUCGGCCACACUGGGACUGAGACACGGCCCAGACUCCUACGGGAGGCAGCAGUAGGGAAUCUUCGGCAAUGGACGGAAGUCUGACCGAGCAACGCCGCGUGAGUGAAGAAGGUUUUCGGAUCGUAAAGCUCUGUUGUAAGAGAAGAAACGAGUGUGAGAG
RNAcentral lists this ribosomal RNA (442 nucleotides) under Streptococcus sp. oral taxon 058. RNAcentral's name for it is "bacterial SSU rRNA". It matches the Rfam family "Bacterial small subunit ribosomal RNA", at positions 28 to 462 of the family's 1533-position model. The record is from RNAcentral. Lineage: Bacteria; Bacillati; Bacillota; Bacilli; Lactobacillales; Streptococcaceae.